ACACAUUUGAGGGCACAUAGCAGAAGCAAUCAUGGUGCAGCCAUGUCAGAUUCCAACAAAUCUGCAAAUUCUACU
RNAcentral lists this ribozyme (75 nucleotides) under Crocodylus porosus (Australian saltwater crocodile). RNAcentral describes it as "Mammalian CPEB3 ribozyme (ENSCPRG00005013385.1)". The stretch from base 11 to 75 matches the Rfam family "Mammalian CPEB3 ribozyme", at positions 13 to 78 of the family's 78-position model. From Rfam's summary of the family: The mammalian CPEB3 ribozyme is a self cleaving RNA located in the second intron of the CPEB3 gene which belongs to a family of genes regulating messenger RNA polyadenylation. This ribozyme is highly conserved and found only in mammals. The record is from RNAcentral. Lineage: Eukaryota; Metazoa; Chordata; Crocodylia; Crocodylidae.